Molecule: ribosomal RNA, 442 nt
Filed under: uncultured bacterium
Lineage: Bacteria
Description: partial 16S ribosomal RNA
Rfam family: Bacterial small subunit ribosomal RNA
Source: RNAcentral
CCUACGGGAGGCAGCAGUGGGGAAUAUUGGACAAUGGGGGGAACCCUGAUCCAGCGACGCCGCGUGAGUGAAGAAGUAUUUCGGUAUGUAAAGCUCUAUCAGCAGGGAAGAAAGAAAUGACGGUACCUGACUAAGAAGCCCCGGCUAACUACGUGCCAGCAGCCGCGGUAAUACGUAGGGGGCAAGCGUUAUCCGGAUUUACUGGGUGUAAAGGGAGCGUAGACGGUUACGCAAGUCUGGAGUGAAAGGCGGGGGCCCAACCCCCGGACUGCUUUGGAAACUGUAUAACUGGAGUGCAGGAGAGGUAAGUGGAAUUCCUGGUGUAGCGGUUAAGUGCGUAGAUAUUAGGAGGAACACCAGUGGCGAGGGCGGCUUACUGGACUGUAACUGACGUUGAGGCUCGAACGCGUGGGGCGCAAACAGGAUUGGUUACCCCUGUCGU